UGAGGGAAAGUUGCAAAGAACUUUGAAGAGAGAGUUCAAGAGUACGUGAAACUGCUCGGAGGGAAACGGGUGGAUCCUCGAAGUCCGAGCGGAGCGGGAUUCAGUGGCGGGCGGCGAGGGGUGUCGGAGUCUCGUACCCGUCUCACGGGACGUGGCGCUGGCACCGUUCUCCCGUCAGCCGCGCACUUCUCGCUCCCGACGGACGCCGCAGCCGGUCUGGCGUCGGCAGUGAGGACUGGUCGGGCGAUGGCGUGGGCGUCGGUCUUGCACCGGCGUCCCGAUUCUGUACCGACCGCGUUCCCGGUGCGACGCCGGUCCGAGGGAAGUGUCCGCCUCAGGGCGGACGUGCCGCGGUCUCGCCUGAGAAGGAAAGAGCGGGAGAGUGGUCCGGUUCGACCGACCAGGGCGCCCACCGAAAGCGUGAGCGUCCGGCGAAGGUGUUCCGGAAGGCCGCGACCCACCCGCUGUAGCGAACCGAUGGCUUGCGGCGAGUAGGUCGGUAACCCACCCGACCCGUCUUGAAACACGGACCAAGGAGUCUAACUUGUGCGCGAGUCAGUGGGACUCGAAUAAGCCCACGGGCGCAAUGAAGGUGACUGGGGCGUUCAAUGCCCGUCGCGAUCCCGCAGCCUCGUGCUCGGGCGCAGCGACGACCCGACGGAGAGGUACCACUUUGGGCCACUGUCGGAGUCGGAGCGUACAGGUUGGGACCCGAAAGAUGGUGAACUAUGCCCGGGCAGGUCGAAGCUAGAGGAAACUCUGGUGGAGGACCGCAGCGGUUCUGACGUGCAAAUCGAUCGUCGAACCUAGG
This 811-nucleotide ribosomal RNA is filed under the name Pholcus cibodas. RNAcentral's name for it is "partial 28S ribosomal RNA". It matches the Rfam family "Eukaryotic large subunit ribosomal RNA", at positions 354 to 915 of the family's 3401-position model. Lineage: Eukaryota; Metazoa; Arthropoda; Arachnida; Araneae; Pholcidae. The record is from RNAcentral.